GUGGGGAAUAUUGGACAAUGGGCGAAAGCCUGAUCCAGCCAUGCCGCGUGUGUGAAGAAGGUCUUCGGAUUGUAAAGCACUUUAAGUUGGGAGGAAGGGCAGUAAGUUAAUACCUUGCUGUUUUGACGUUACCGACAGAAUAAGCACCGGCUAACUUCGUGCCAGCAGCCGCGGUAAUACGAAGGGUGCAAGCGUUAAUCGGAAUUACUGGGCGUAAAGCGCGCGUAGGUGGUUUUGUAAGUUGGAGGUGAAAUCCCCGGGCUCAACCUGGGAACUGCCUCAAAAACUGCAUGACUAGAGUACGGUAGAGGGUAGUGGAAUUUUCUGUGUAGCGGUGAAAUGCGUAGAUAUAGGAAGGAACACCAGUGGCGAAGGCGACUACCUGGACUGAUACUGACACUGAGGUGCGAAAGCGUGGGGAGCAAACAGGAUUAGAAACCCUGGUAGUCC
RNAcentral lists this ribosomal RNA (450 nucleotides) under uncultured bacterium. Its description in RNAcentral is "partial 16S ribosomal RNA". It matches the Rfam family "Bacterial small subunit ribosomal RNA", at positions 354 to 796 of the family's 1533-position model. The record is from RNAcentral.